CGUCAUCGUAGGGUUAGUCGGGACCUAAGUCGAGUCCGAAAGGGGUAGACGAUGGCAAAUCGGUUAAUAUUCCGAUACCGACGGUUGUUUGUUUGAAUGAUGGGGGGACGCAUAGGGCUAAUCGAGCUCACUGAUGGAAUAGUGGGUCGAAGGACGUAGGUCGUACAGUAGGAAAAUCCGCUGUGCACUAGACCGAGAUCUUACAGGCAGACCAAUCUCUUCGGAGAGCGGUCUGAAUCGAUGAUGCCGUCGUGCCGAGAAAAGCCUCUAAAUGAGAACAACCGUUGCCCGUACCGUAAACCGACACAGGUGGGUGAGAUGAGUAUUCUAAGGCGCGUGGAAGAACUACUGUUAAGGAACUCUGCAAACUAGCACCGUAACUUCGGAAUAAGGUGUGCCUUAAAUGUUUAGGGAUUUACUCCCGAAAGCAUUACAAGGCCGCAGCAAAGUGUCCCUCCCGACUGUUUAC
This 469-nucleotide ribosomal RNA is filed under the name uncultured bacterium. Its description in RNAcentral is "bacterial LSU rRNA". It matches the Rfam family "Bacterial large subunit ribosomal RNA", at positions 1367 to 1807 of the family's 2925-position model. The record is from RNAcentral.